This 151-nucleotide small nuclear RNA is filed under the name Coturnix japonica (Japanese quail). RNAcentral's name for it is "U1 spliceosomal RNA (ENSCJPG00005020662.1)". The record is from RNAcentral. Lineage: Eukaryota; Metazoa; Chordata; Aves; Galliformes; Phasianidae.
ACACUAACCUAGCUGGGAGGACACUGUGAUCAGGAAGGUGGAUUUCCCAGGGCAAGGCUUAUUUGCACAUACUCCAGGUGUGCUGACCCCAAAUGCAGGAAACUCAAUUGCAUAACUAGUCGGGGGGUGAGGAGGAAAUUUUUGUUUUGGU